UACGUAGGUGUCAAGCGUUGUCCGGAUUUAUUGGGCGUAAAGCGCCCGCAGGCGGCUUGCCAAGUUCGAUGUGAAAUCUCCCGGCUCAACUGGGAGGGUGCAUCGAAAACUGGCAGGCUUGAGGCAGGGAGAGGGAUGUGGAAUUCCAGGUGUAGUGGUGAAAUGCGUAGAUACUGGGAGGAACACCGGUGGCGAAGGCGGCUACCUGGACCGGUUCUGACGCUGAUGCGCGAAAGCGUGGGUAGCAAACAGG
RNAcentral lists this ribosomal RNA (253 nucleotides) under uncultured bacterium. Its description in RNAcentral is "partial 16S ribosomal RNA". It matches the Rfam family "Bacterial small subunit ribosomal RNA", at positions 524 to 776 of the family's 1533-position model. The record is from RNAcentral.